Molecule: ribosomal RNA, 446 nt
Filed under: uncultured bacterium
Lineage: Bacteria
Description: partial 16S ribosomal RNA
Rfam family: Bacterial small subunit ribosomal RNA
Source: RNAcentral
CCUACGGGGAGCAGCAGUCGAGAAUCAUUCACAAUGGGGGAAACCCUGAUGGUGCGACGCCGCGUGGGGGAAUGAAGGUCUUCGGAUUGUAAACCCCUGUCAUGUGGGAGCAAAUUAAAAAGAUAGUACCACAAGAGGAAGAGACGACUAACUCUGUGCCAGCAGCCGCGGUAAUACAGAGGUCUCAAGCGUUGUUCGGAAUCACUGGGCGUAAAGCGUGCGUAGGCUGUUUCGUAAGUCGUGUGUGAAAGGGGCGGGCUCAACCCGCGGACGGCACAUGAUACUGCGAGACUAGAGUAAUGGAGGGGGAACCGGAAUUCUCGGUGUAGCAGUGAAAUGCGUAGAUAUCGAGAGGAACACUCGUGGCGAAGGCGGGUUCCUGGACAUUAACUGACGCUGAGGCACGAAGGCCAGGGGAGCGAAAGGGAUUAGAUACCCCAGUAGUC